Molecule: ribosomal RNA, 506 nt
Filed under: Heterosigma akashiwo
Lineage: Eukaryota; Raphidophyceae; Chattonellales; Chattonellaceae
Description: partial Bacterial large subunit ribosomal RNA
Rfam family: Bacterial large subunit ribosomal RNA
Source: RNAcentral
UUCUGUGAAGCCGGCCUGUGAGGGAUCCGGUGGAGAGAUCACUAGUGAGAAUGAUGACAUGAGUAGCGACAAACAGGGUGAGAGACCCUGUCGCCGAAAGUCCAAGGGUUCCUGCUUAAAGCUAAUCUGAGCAGGGUAAGCCGACCCCUAAGGCGAGGCCGAAAGGCGUAGUCGAUGGGAACCAGGUUAAUAUUCCUGGGCCAGGAGGAUGUGACGGAUCGCAGAGGUUGUUCGCCCUUAUCGGAUUGGGCGGGCCGCUGAGCGGUUCCUGGAAAUAGCCCUCCAUGAGAUCGUACCCUAAACCGACACAGGUGGACAGGUAGAGAAUACCAAGGCGCUUGAGAGAACGAUGUUGAAGGAACUCGGCAAAAUACCUCCGUAAGUUCGCGAGAAGGAGGCCCCGUUGGCAGGCAACUGUCGGCGGGGGGCACAAACUAGGGGGUGGCGACUGUUUAUUAAAAACACAGGGCUCUGCGAAGUCGUAAGACGACGUAUAGGGUCUGACG